RNAcentral lists this ribosomal RNA (497 nucleotides) under uncultured bacterium. RNAcentral describes it as "partial 16S ribosomal RNA". It matches the Rfam family "Bacterial small subunit ribosomal RNA", at positions 28 to 507 of the family's 1533-position model. The record is from RNAcentral.
GAUGAACGCUGGCGGCGUGCCUAAUACAUGCAAGUCGAGCGAACAGACGAGGAGCUUGCUCCUCUGACGUUAGCGGCGGACGGGUGAGUAACACGUGGAUAACCUACCUAUAAGACUGGGAUAACUUCGGGAAACCGGAGCUAAUACCGGAUAAUAUAUUGAACCGCAUGGUUCAAUAGUGAAAGACGGUUUUGCUGUCACUUAUAGAUGGAUCCGCGCCGCAUUAGCUAGUUGGUAAGGUAACGGCUUACCAAGGCAACGAUGCGUAGCCGACCUGAGAGGGUGAUCGGCCACACUGGAACUGAAACACGGUCCAGACUCCUACGGGAGGCAGCAGUAGGGAAUCUUCCGCAAUGGGCGAAAGCCUGACGGAGCAACGCCGCGUGAGUGAUGAAGGUCUUUGGAUCGUAAAACUCUGUUAUUAGGGAAGAACAAAUGUGUAAGUAACUAUGCACGUCUUGACGGUACCUAAUCAGAAAGCCACGGCUAACUACGUG